This 253-nucleotide ribosomal RNA is filed under the name uncultured bacterium. Its description in RNAcentral is "partial 16S ribosomal RNA". It matches the Rfam family "Bacterial small subunit ribosomal RNA", at positions 524 to 776 of the family's 1533-position model. The record is from RNAcentral.
GACAGAGGGGGCAAGCGUUGCUCGGAAUCACUGGGCGUAAAGGGCGCGUAGGCGGGAUGGCAAGUCAGUCGUGAAAUCUCUCGGCUCAACCGAGAAACGUCGGCUGAUACUGCCGUUCUUGAGGGAUGCAGAGGAGACUGGAAUUCCCGGUGUAGCGGUGAAAUGCAUUGAGAUCGGAAAGAACACCAACGGCGAAAGCACUCUGCUGGGCCGACACUGACACUGAGAGACGAAAGCUAGGGGAGCAAAUGGG